CGAGUCCGAGUCUCCACGGAGACGAAGUGGCGGUCAUCCAGCUUCCUAGAAAAGCUCUAACCACGUUAAUCUUUAGUUGCCUGUACCCGAAACCGACACAGGUAGGGGGGUAGAGAAUACCAAGGGGCGCGAGAUAACUCUCUCUAAGGAACUCGGCAAAAUGACCCCGUAACUUCGGGAGAAGGGGUACCACUGAGAAGUGGUCGCAGUGAAGAGGCCCAGGCGACUGUUUACCAAAAACACAGGUCUCCGCCAAGUCGCAAGACGAAGUAUGGGGGCUGACGCCUGCCCAGUGCCGGAAGGUUAAGGAAGUGGGUUAGGGAUUCGUCCCGAAGCUGACGACUGAAGCCCCGGUGAACGGCGGCCGUAACUAUAACGGUCCUAAGGUAGCGAAAUUCCUUGUCGGGUAAGUUCCGACCCGCACGAAAGGCGUAACGAUCUGGGCGCUGUCUCGGAGAGAGGCUCGGCGAAAUAGGAUUGUCUGUGAAGAUACGGACUACCUGCACCUGGACAGAAAGACCCUAUGAAGCUUUACUGUAGCUUGGAAUUGGGUUCGGGCUUGGUUUGCGCAGGAUAGGUGGGAGGCGAAGAAGAUUUGCUUGUGGGUGAAUCUGAGCCAACGGUGAGAUACCACUCUAACCAGGCUAGAAUUCUAACUUCAACCCGUCAACCGGGGGAAGGACAGUUUCAGGUGGGCAGUUUGACUGGGGCGGUCGCCUCCUAAAAGAUAACGGAGGCGCACAAAGGUUCCCUCAGGCUGGUUGGAAAUCAGCCAACGAGUGCAAAGGCAGAAGGGAGCUUGACUGCGAGACCUACAAGUCAAGCAGGGUGGAAACAUGGUCUUAGUGAUCCGACGGCACCGAGUGGAAGGGCCGUCACUCAACGGAUAAAGUUACUCUAAGGAUAACAGGCUGAUCUCCCCCAAGAGUUCACAUCGACGGGGAGGUUUGGCACCUCGAUGUCGGCUCAUCGCAACCUGGGGCGGAAGUACGUCCCAAGGGUUGGGCUGUUCGCCCAUUAAAGCGGUACGUGAGCUGGGUUCAGAACGUCGUGAGACAGUUCGGUCCAUAUCCGGUGUAGGCGCAAGAACAUUGAGAGGAGUCUUCCUUAGUACGAGAGGACCGGGAAGAACGCACCGCUGGUGUACCUGUUAUCGUGCCAACGGUAAACGCAGGGUAGCCAAGUGCGGAGUGGAUAACCGCUGAAAGCAUCUAAGUGGGAAGCCCACCUCAAGAUGAGUGUUCUCAUGGAGUAAUCCAGUAAGGUCACGGGAAGACGACCCGUUGAUAGGCGGUAGGUCGAAGUUCAGCAAUGGAUGAAGCCGAGCCGUACUAACAGACCGAGGGCUU
RNAcentral lists this ribosomal RNA (1349 nucleotides) under metagenome. RNAcentral's name for it is "bacterial LSU rRNA". It matches the Rfam family "Bacterial large subunit ribosomal RNA", at positions 1564 to 2925 of the family's 2925-position model. The record is from RNAcentral.